UGGGGAAUAUUGCACAAUGGGCGCAAGCCUGAUGCAGCGACGCCGCGUGAGGGAUGACGGCCUUCGGGUUGUAAACCUCUUUCAGCAGGGAAGAAGCGAAAGUGACGGUACCUGCAGAAGAAGCGCCGGCUAACUACGUGCCAGCAGCCGCGGUAAUACGUAGGGCGCAAGCGUUGUCCGGAAUUAUUGGGCGUAAAGAGCUCGUAGGCGGUUAGUCGCGUCUGCUGUGAAAACUCGAGGCUCAACCUCGGGCUUGCAGUGGGUACGGGCUGACUAGAGUGCGGUAGGGGUGACUGGAAUUCCUGGUGUAGCGGUGGAAUGCGCAGAUAUCAGGAGGAACACCGAUGGCGAAGGCAGGUCACUGGGCCGCAACUGACGCUGAGGAGCGAAAGCAUGGGGAGCGAACAGGAUUAGAUACCCUGGUAGUCCAUGCCGUAAACGUUGGGCACUAGGUGUGGGGUCCAUUCCACGGAUUCCGUGCCGCAGCAAACGCAUUAAGUGCCCCGCCUGGGGAGUACGGCCGCAAGGCUAAAACUCAAAGGAAUUGACGGGGUCAUAGCUGUUUCCU
RNAcentral lists this ribosomal RNA (568 nucleotides) under uncultured bacterium. RNAcentral describes it as "partial 16S ribosomal RNA". It matches the Rfam family "Bacterial small subunit ribosomal RNA", at positions 355 to 1375 of the family's 1533-position model. The record is from RNAcentral.